UUUGGUGAACGAAUAGCAAAGAGGAUACACCUGUUCCCCAUCCCGAACCACAGUAGUUAAGCUCUUUAGCGCCGAUGGUAGUUGGGGGUCGUCCCCCUGUGAGAGUAGGACGUUGCCAAGC
RNAcentral lists this ribosomal RNA (121 nucleotides) under Brochothrix thermosphacta DSM 20171 = FSL F6-1036. Lineage: Bacteria; Bacillati; Bacillota; Bacilli; Caryophanales; Listeriaceae. The record is from RNAcentral.